GUACUGCAAACAUGGACUAAUAAAAAAUUUAAAAAACAAUGUAUCUUUAGGCUGCAGAUGUAGCUUAGUAGUUCAUGUUUGCAAAGCAUAUGUGAAGCCCUGCACCCAAGUGCUUAUAAUUCAGCAAAGUGUCUGCCCUGUUUCCUUUUUGAAAUUAAUUAAAUUUUCUGGUACAUUUUAGAUACACAAUGAUCACAUUCAUCAUAGGGAAUUUAUACCUGUACAUAAUACAUCUCUAGUCUUCUUUUUGUCUCCUUUUUGAGAAUUUAAAAAACCAUAUCCCUGGGGCCGGGGAUUUAGCUCAGUGGUUUCGCCUGCUGCGCAAGCGCAAGGACUUGAGUUCGAUCCCCGGUACCAAAAACAAAAACAAAAACAAAACCAUAUCCCUGACGGUUUGAAACUGACUCUUGCCCUGAAGAGCCAUUCAAUGAAAAGGAUUUUAAGAGAACAGGAUGGGUCUUAGGCAAAUCAAUUGACCUAUCCCAGAUCUUAGUUCCAGUUUCCAAGAUUUACUGCUCUGCAUUCCCACCUCAUGGUGUCCUUUGUAAUAGCUGUGCUAGAUAAUAAAAGGAAAUGAGGCCGCCGGAGAUUUAGCUCAGUGGUUCUGCCGCCUGCCCUGCAAGCUCAAGGACCCGAGUUCGAUCCCCGGUACCAAAAAAACAAAAAAUAAACGGAAAUGAGCAAGGUAUUGUAAGUCCAUAAGUACACCCACUAUUACCAACCCGUCCCUAUGCUGAGUGUGUCACAAUGAGCAGAAGAAUUGGACCGUAUCUUAUUCUUCUGGAAGUAACUAGGUCCAAGCCAGAACAAGUACCGAGAGGCUUCCCCUCCUCGCCCCACCCUCGUCCCCACCUGCCUGCCCGGAACGCCCGCUAGUUCGGAGGCAACGGCUGGGGAACCGCCCGCCUCUGUCUGCAACGCCGCCAGCCAGGCCCUAGCAGUGUGCGACCCCAGCGCCUGCACUCCGGCCCUCGCUGGGGAGCCAGGUGAGCCACUGCCUCUGCGGGGGACGCCCGGGAACCCAGACUGGGAGCGGCGAGGCAGAGAUGAGCUCUCCUCCACAACCUCUUGCUGUUGAGAGACAAUCACCCACAGUCCACAGUCUGAGAGAGAGCGAGAGAGAGACAGAGAAGAACCACUGGCUCAGUUGUGAUCAUGUGACUUCAGCAUCACAUGCCACUCUACUGCAAGACAUUGCUCAUUUAUCACGUUAAAAUGUAUUAGAAACGUGUGCUCAUCUUGUGGAACACUCACAGAACAAGUUACUCACAAUCCAAGGUUUUACUGUAUUGUAAAAUAUCUUUCCCAUCCUGCUCUGGAUUCCUGAAACCAUUCUCUUAGUGCUUUCCUGAAUUUGUGAUCUUUAGUUCAUGGAUGUCAUCCAGCAUACAACUGCUACCUGAUGUUUUGAGGCAGCACAGUUUGUAAUAGCUAAAUCUUGGAACAGCCCAAAUGCCCACCAACUGACAAGUGGAUAAAGAAGAUGUGG
Molecule: non-coding RNA, 1489 nt
Organism: Heterocephalus glaber (naked mole-rat)
Lineage: Eukaryota; Metazoa; Chordata; Mammalia; Rodentia; Bathyergidae
Source: RefSeq, a predicted model, not a curated record